UAGAUAUGGGAAAAGCUCCGGCGGCAAAGGAUGGGCCCGCGGCCUGUUAGCUAGUUGGUGGGGUAGUGGCCUACCCAAGGCAAUGAUGGGUAGCCGGGUUGAGAGACCGACCGGCCAGAUUGGGACUGAGACACGGCCCAGACUCCUACGGGAGGCAGCAGUGGGGAAUCUUGCACAAUGGGCGAAAGCCUGAUGCAGCGACGCCGCGUGCGGGAUGAAGGCCUUCGGGUUGUAAACCGCUUUCAGCAGGGACGAGGCCGCAAGGUGACGGUACCUGCAGAAGAAGCCCCGGCUAACUACGUGCCAGCAGCCGCGGUAAU
Molecule: ribosomal RNA, 320 nt
Filed under: uncultured Atopobium sp.
Lineage: Bacteria; Bacillati; Actinomycetota; Coriobacteriia; Coriobacteriales; Atopobiaceae
Description: bacterial SSU rRNA
Rfam family: Bacterial small subunit ribosomal RNA
Source: RNAcentral